AAAAAAAAUGGAACGAUACAGAGAAGAUUAGCAUGGCCCCUGCACAAGGAUGACACGCAAAUUCUUGAAGUGCUCCAUAUUUUA
Molecule: small nuclear RNA, 84 nt
Filed under: Erinaceus europaeus (western European hedgehog)
Lineage: Eukaryota; Metazoa; Chordata; Mammalia; Eulipotyphla; Erinaceidae
Source: RNAcentral